AAAAUGAAUAAAGAGAGCAUGUGCUUCUCACAUGCUUGAAGAAGCCAAGUAUAUAUAUAGAUAGGAGAGGUCAUCUUUUUAAAUCAAGAAGUUGUAGAGAAAGGAAAAAAAAAUAUAGAAGAAGAAGAAAGAGGAGGGGCCAAUUCGGCCAAGAAGGAGGAGAAAGAGAAGACCAAAAAUCUUGCCCCAAAAAUUUAUUUCUCAUAGUAUUUCUACUAAUUCAAAGAUGCUCUCCAACAUGGUAUAAUUGUUGAAGCAAGAGAAUUAUUCUUUGGUGCAAAACUCCAACCUUAGCUAAGUUGAGAAGUUGUGAAGGAAAGAUUUUGGUGAAUUUGGAGCUUGAGUUUGGAGAAGCAAAAGGAGCGGAAAAGGUACUCCCAGAUGAUUAGAAGACCUUACUAAAGAUGUUCCAGCGGAGAUGGC
This is a long non-coding RNA of Lycium barbarum (goji berry), 423 nucleotides long. RefSeq lists it as uncharacterized. The record is from RefSeq and is a predicted model, not a curated record. The transcript is spliced from 3 exons. NCBI's taxonomy places the organism in Eukaryota, Viridiplantae, Streptophyta, Magnoliopsida, Solanales, Solanaceae.